UUCAUCAAAAUAAAAUGAUAGUUUUUUAUUUUCUUUGCUUUUAUUUAUAUUUUGGUGCUGCUUGCUUAAUUUUUAUAGUUGAAGCCUCAUCUUGGGAUGCAUAAAAUAAAUAAAUAAAUAUUCGGAAAGAUCCCUUGUGCACACAUAUGCUGCCACAGGAUGGGGAACUAAAUCAAGGUAAUCUUAACAAAACCGCCCGAGAAGAAACCAAGUCAAGGCCGUAAUCUUUUUAAGUGGGUGCGAGGCAUCAGCGAGCGGUGAGGGCGAACCACAUCAAAACCAAGUCAAAACCUAGACAAACACACUUGUUAGCUUAUCAUGUUACCCAUGUUAAGCGUAUUAAUGGCAGCGAAGACGACGACAACGAUGACAACAAAUCCAAAAAAAAGGGCGUCAGCCAGGCAAACAAACAAGCAAACAAACAUCGAGGACACAAAACGUGCAGGAAGAAGUAAAAUAUUAAUAGCCAGCUACUAAAAUAGCAUGAGUCAAAAUCCGAGCACAAAACACAAAGAAUCGAGCAUCGAGGCCAAGGAACCAACGAGUUCUGAGGUCUCCGAAGGGUUCGGGAAUAUGGGUCGGUGGGUCGGUGAGUUGGUCGGAUGGUAGGUUGGUGGGUGGCUAAGCCACUUGCAAAGUCCUGGCUCAGACAGAACUCGGUAUGCAGCCAACCAUGAUGCCAUCAUGCCACAUUCCCUGUUCCCAGUUCCCAGUUCCCACAUUCCCUGAUCCUUGGAACUCUGGCUUAACCUCAAAGUUGUGUGCGGAUGCCUGUUAAUGUGUCAUUUCGUUGGAAUCGCGGGCCUUCCUUCUAUAUAUCUAUAAAUAGUAUAGAGGCCAAACUCACGCAACAUACUCGUAAAUGGAAGCUGAUUUAAUAGUUGAUUGUCUGCUUUGGAGCUAAGUAUCUAUUUAACUAAUAUUAGAAACGUCUGUACAAAAUUUUAUCGUUGAACGUACAAAGCAAUUUAUAAAUCAAUUAUUUACAAAUAAAAUUCAAGAAUUAUUUAGAUUUUAUUCAAAA
Molecule: long non-coding RNA, 1024 nt
Organism: Drosophila ficusphila
Lineage: Eukaryota; Metazoa; Arthropoda; Insecta; Diptera; Drosophilidae
Exons: 2
Source: RefSeq, a predicted model, not a curated record